This 83-nucleotide transfer RNA is filed under the name Ktedonobacteraceae bacterium. RNAcentral's name for it is "tRNA-Leu". It matches the Rfam family "tRNA". Rfam says of the family: Transfer RNA (tRNA) molecules are approximately 80 nucleotides in length. Their secondary structure includes four short double-helical elements and three loops (D, anti-codon, and T loops). Lineage: Bacteria; Bacillati; Chloroflexota; Ktedonobacteria; Ktedonobacterales; Ktedonobacteraceae. The record is from RNAcentral.
GCCGAAGUGGUGAAACUGGUAGACACACAGUGUUCAGGGCGCUGCGCCGAACAGGCAUGGGGGUUCGAAUCCCCCCUUCGGCA